AUACGGAGGGUGCGAGCGUUAAUCGGAAUUACUGGGCGUAAAGGGUGCGUAGGCGGUUUGAUAAGUCGGAUGUGAAAGCCCCGGGCUUAACCUGGGAAUGGCAUUCGAUACUGUCAGGCUAGAGUAUGUCAGAGGUUGGCGGAAUUCCUGGUGUAGCGGUGAAAUGCGUAGAUAUCAGGAGGAACACCAGUGGCGAAGGCGGCUAACUGGGGCAAUACUGACGCUGAGGCACGAAAGCGUGGGGAGCAAACAGGAUUAGAAACCCUUGUAGUCC
RNAcentral lists this ribosomal RNA (274 nucleotides) under uncultured bacterium. RNAcentral's name for it is "partial 16S ribosomal RNA". It matches the Rfam family "Bacterial small subunit ribosomal RNA", at positions 523 to 796 of the family's 1533-position model. The record is from RNAcentral.